This 428-nucleotide ribosomal RNA is filed under the name Troglodiplura beirutpakbarai. RNAcentral's name for it is "partial large subunit ribosomal RNA". It matches the Rfam family "Bacterial large subunit ribosomal RNA", at positions 1834 to 2597 of the family's 2925-position model. Lineage: Eukaryota; Metazoa; Arthropoda; Arachnida; Araneae; Anamidae. The record is from RNAcentral.
UAAAAGAUUUUAUUUUUAGUAUCUCCUGCUCAAUGAAAUUUUAAAUAGCCGCAGUAUGAACUGUGCUAAGGUAGCAUAAUCACUUGCCUAAUAAUUAUAGGAUAGAAUGAAAGGAAAAACAUGUAACAUUCUUUAUCUUUAGAGCUUAUUUAAUUUUCUAUUUAGGUCAAAAUUCCUAAAUUAUAAGGAGGACGACAAGACCCUAUCAAACUUUACAUUAUUGUUUAGCUGGGGUGGCAAUAAAAGGAAGUCUUUUAUUAUUUUUUUUCUACCCAACCCUUAAUGGAGUAACAAGUUACUGUAGGGAUAACAGCACAAUUCUUUACUGAAGAUCUAAUAAAAUAAAGAGUUUGUGACCUCGAUGUUGAAUUAAUAUUCUCUUAGGGGCAGUCCCUUAAAAAGAAAGUCUGUUCGACUUUUAAAAAAUU